This 350-nucleotide long non-coding RNA is filed under the name Bos taurus (domestic cattle). Its description in RNAcentral is "long non-coding RNA NONBTAT024011". The record is from RNAcentral. Lineage: Eukaryota; Metazoa; Chordata; Mammalia; Artiodactyla; Bovidae.
GUGCUGACUCUAGAUGUAGUUGGGGGUUCAGAGAAGGGAGAAGUCAGUGUAGGCUACUAGUGAAACCUGCAAGGAGAAGAGGUCAGAAUUAAGUAUUGAAGAUAUUAAUGUUUUGUAUCUGGAUGAAGGGAAGAGAGUAUUUUGGGCAAAGAGAACAAAAGCAGGGUCAGAGACAUGUGAGUGAACCUGUAUGCAGUCUUGGGGUGAGGCAGUUCACACUCCAAUCUAGGGGGUAGUUCAGAGCUUUUUCUGCAUUUCAACCCCCAAGGGCAAAAAGGCUCCGCAGUCUCAGUUAGGAUUCCUGCUGGAAUUUCUCAUGGGAGGAGGAAAGGGAUUGUAUGUAGAAAUAG